This 114-nucleotide ribosomal RNA is filed under the name Sticta sp. 'aff. roseocyphellata'. RNAcentral describes it as "partial 5.8S ribosomal RNA". It matches the Rfam family "5.8S ribosomal RNA", at positions 44 to 154 of the family's 154-position model. Rfam says of the family: 5.8S ribosomal RNA (5.8S rRNA) is a component of the large subunit of the eukaryotic ribosome. It is transcribed by RNA polymerase I as part of the 45S precursor that also contains 18S and 28S rRNA. Functionally, it is thought that 5.8S rRNA may be involved in ribosome translocation. Lineage: Eukaryota; Fungi; Ascomycota; Lecanoromycetes; Peltigerales; Lobariaceae. The record is from RNAcentral.
CGCAGCGAAAUGCGAUAAGUAAUGUGAAUUGCAGAAUUCAGUGAAUCAUCGAAUCUUUGAACGCACAUUGCGCCCCUUGGCAUUCCGAGGGGCAUACCUGUUCGAGCGUCAUUG